GGGGUUGUGGCUCAGUGAUAGAGCACUUGCCUCACACGUGUGAAGCACUGGGUCCAAUUCUCAGCACCUCA
Molecule: transfer RNA, 71 nt
Filed under: Ictidomys tridecemlineatus (thirteen-lined ground squirrel)
Lineage: Eukaryota; Metazoa; Chordata; Mammalia; Rodentia; Sciuridae
Description: Spermophilus tridecemlineatus (thirteen-lined ground squirrel) tRNA
Rfam family: tRNA
About the family: Transfer RNA (tRNA) molecules are approximately 80 nucleotides in length. Their secondary structure includes four short double-helical elements and three loops (D, anti-codon, and T loops).
Source: Rfam by way of RNAcentral